CCUACGGGAGGCAGCAGUGAGGAAUAUUGGACAAUGGGCGCAAGCCUGAACCAGCCACGCCGCGUGAGGGAAGACGGUCCUAUGGAUUGUAAACCUCUUUUGUCGGGGAGCAAAAGACGCCACGCGUGGCGUUCCGAGCGUCCCCGAAGAAAACACCUCGGCUAACUCCGUGCCAGCAGCCGCGGUAAUACGGAGGAUGCGAGCGUUAUCCGGAUUUAGGGGGUUUAAGGGGUGCGCAGGCGGAAGAUAAAGUCAGCGGUAAAAUUGAGGGGUUAAACCUCGUCGAGCCGUUGAAACUGGUUAUCUUGAGUGAGCGAGAAGUAUGCGGAAUGCGUGGUGUAGCGGUGAAAUGCAUAGAUAUCACGCAGAACUCCGAUUGCGAAGGCAGCAUACCGGCGCUCAACUGACGUUCAUGCACGAAAGUGUGGGUAUCGAACAGGAUUAGAUACCCGAGUAGUC
Molecule: ribosomal RNA, 459 nt
Filed under: uncultured bacterium
Lineage: Bacteria
Description: partial 16S ribosomal RNA
Rfam family: Bacterial small subunit ribosomal RNA
Source: RNAcentral